CCUACGGGGGGCAGCAGUGAGGAAUAUUGGUCAAUGGACGAGAGUCUGAACCAGCCAAGUAGCGUGAAGGAUGACUGCCCUAUGGGUUGUAAACUUCUUUUAUAUGGGAAUAAAAUGUUCCACGUGUGGGAUUUUGUAUGUACCAUAUGAAUAAGGAUCGGCUAACUCCGUGCCAGCAGCCGCGGUAAUACGGAGGAUCCGAGCGUUAUCCGGAUUUAUUGGGUUUAAAGGGAGCGUAGGUGGAUUGUUAAGUCAGUUGUGAAAGUUUGCGGCUCAACCGUAAAAUUGCAGUUGAAACUGGCAGUCUUGAGUACAGUAGAGGUGGGCGGAAUUCGUGGUGUAGCGGUGAAAUGCUUAGAUAUCACGAAGAACUCCGAUUGCGAAGGCAGUUCACUGGACUGCAACUGACACUGAGGCUCGAAAGUGUGGGUAUCAAACAGGAUUAGAUACCCCUGAAGUC
Molecule: ribosomal RNA, 460 nt
Filed under: uncultured bacterium
Lineage: Bacteria
Description: partial 16S ribosomal RNA
Rfam family: Bacterial small subunit ribosomal RNA
Source: RNAcentral